UCUUUAGACCUAUGCAACGGCUACUCAGGGAACCGAGUCAGGAUGGGAACAUAGCAGCUCACCUUGUUUAGUUGUGUGCCGUAGGUAUCUGGGGGGAGG
Molecule: signal recognition particle RNA, 99 nt
Filed under: Sulfurovum sp. enrichment culture clone C5
Lineage: Bacteria; Pseudomonadati; Campylobacterota; Epsilonproteobacteria; Campylobacterales; Sulfurovaceae
Description: SRP_bact
Rfam family: Bacterial small signal recognition particle RNA
About the family: The signal recognition particle (SRP) is a universally conserved ribonucleoprotein involved in the co-translational targeting of proteins to membranes. Archaeal SRP consists of a 7S RNA and homologues of the eukaryotic SRP19 and SRP54 proteins.
Source: RNAcentral